Molecule: long non-coding RNA, 421 nt
Organism: Carassius gibelio (silver crucian carp)
Lineage: Eukaryota; Metazoa; Chordata; Actinopteri; Cypriniformes; Cyprinidae
Exons: 3
Source: RefSeq, a predicted model, not a curated record
UGUUGCAACAAGCUCUUUUCACCCCGUUUACCCUCUUGUUAACAUUUGUGGUUGAUUACAUUGCAUCAAACUCAUAAGCCUGUCUUUCACAACUAUUGCUUACACAUCAUAGAGAUAGAGAAUCACAAAGAUAUCCAUCAAAGCCAGAAAUUACCACAAUGGCAAAGAGAAUAGUACUGUACUACCCCAUGCUUCAGGACCAAGGCCUCCAUACAUGGGUAACUGUGUACUCACAGCUAUACAAAAGAUUGCAAAAUGUGAGAUCCGCCCAAAAAAGUGCUCCAGAUGGGAGACAUUCAAAGAGCUCUACAAAGAGGCGCUGUCUUGAGCAGCCAACAGACACGUAUGAAAUUGAUUCAAGUGACAAACAUUCUAGAUUGGUCCACAGAAGGAAGUGGCAGCCCAAGCUCAUACUGUAAAA